UACGAAGGGGGCUAGCGUUGCUCGGAAUCACUGGGCGUAAAGCGCACGUAGGCGGAUUGUUAAGUCAGGGGUGAAAUCCUGGAGCUCAACUCCAGAACUGCCUUUGAUACUGGCGAUCUCGAGUCCGGGAGAGGUGAGUGGAACUGCGAGUGUAGAGGUGAAAUUCGUAGAGAUCGUAAGGAAGACCAGUGGCGAAGGCGGGUCUCUGGACAGUUCCUGACACUGAGGCACGAAGGCCAGGGGAGCAAACGGG
This 253-nucleotide ribosomal RNA is filed under the name uncultured bacterium. Its description in RNAcentral is "partial 16S ribosomal RNA". It matches the Rfam family "Bacterial small subunit ribosomal RNA", at positions 524 to 776 of the family's 1533-position model. The record is from RNAcentral.